GGGUCUAGUGGCGCACGGGUGCGUAACGCGUGGGAAUCUGCCCCUCGGUUCGGAAUAACAGUUAGAAAUGACUGCUAAUACCGGAUGAUGACGAAAGUCCAAAGAUUUAUCGCCGAGGGAUGAGCCCGCGUAGGAUUAGCUAGUUGGUGGGGUAAUGGCCCACCAAGGCGACGAUCCUUAGCUGGUCUGAGAGGAUGAUCAGCCACACUGGGACUGAGACACGGCCCAGACUCC
This 234-nucleotide ribosomal RNA is filed under the name uncultured bacterium. Its description in RNAcentral is "partial 16S ribosomal RNA". It matches the Rfam family "Bacterial small subunit ribosomal RNA", at positions 88 to 339 of the family's 1533-position model. The record is from RNAcentral.